This is a long non-coding RNA of Gambusia affinis (western mosquitofish), 83 nucleotides long. RefSeq lists it as uncharacterized. The record is from RefSeq and is a predicted model, not a curated record. The transcript has 2 exons. NCBI's taxonomy places the organism in Eukaryota, Metazoa, Chordata, Actinopteri, Cyprinodontiformes, Poeciliidae.
GCCCAGCCACAAUCAGCUGUGCCAGAACCCCGGCGACAUCCAGCUCGCCAUCUUCAAAUCCUGAUGAGGAUCUGAUCCAACCG